UNCCCAUAGAUGGUGCUAGAAAGGUGGA
This 28-nucleotide non-coding RNA is filed under the name Mus musculus (house mouse). Lineage: Eukaryota; Metazoa; Chordata; Mammalia; Rodentia; Muridae. The record is from RNAcentral.